GCCGGGUGUGGUGGUGGGCACCUGUAGUCCCAGCUACUUGGGAGGCUGAUGCAGAAGAAUCGCUUGAACCCAGGAGGUGGAGGCUGCAGUGAGCCAAGAUCAUGCCACUGCACUCCAGCCUGGGCAACAGAGCGAGACUCUGUCUCAA
Molecule: non-coding RNA, 148 nt
Filed under: Chlorocebus sabaeus (green monkey)
Lineage: Eukaryota; Metazoa; Chordata; Mammalia; Primates; Cercopithecidae
Source: Rfam by way of RNAcentral